Molecule: long non-coding RNA, 382 nt
Filed under: Bos indicus x Bos taurus (hybrid cattle)
Lineage: Eukaryota; Metazoa; Chordata; Mammalia; Artiodactyla; Bovidae
Description: lncRNA (ENSBIXG00000020877.1)
Source: RNAcentral
UUCAGUGCUUAGCAAGGACAGAAGUUUUCUCCAGAUGGCUUUUCUGGAAAAAGUUCAGCUGUCUGUGUGUAAGCAGUGGUGAUGAACUGAAACUUCAGCAGUGACAUGACACCCUGUGUUCUCAGGUGCCAGAUGUGGAAAGCGAGGCUUGUUAUAAUGGAAUUUCCUCAUCAAGCAGAAUCAUUCCAUCCCUAGAAUACUAUCGUGGCAGCAUUCCAGUUCCUGGACUAAUUGUGCCCUUGGGUUAAAGGCUUUUAGGAGAUAAGCUGAGUCUUCAUCCAACAAGAAUUCAGAGUGUCUACUAUAAUUCCAGCCAGGAGAAAGCUUUCCAGAGGUAAAAUAACAUGUGUCAUGUUUUCAAGGGCUCGGGGCUAGUGAGGGC